UUGAAUAUUGUUUGUGUUUUUCAGGAAUAUAAAAACAUUUUAAGAUUAAUUAAUAAUUUAUGGAUUUCUGUAAUAACGAACUCUUUUAAAAUGGGUCAGGGUUGUUCGUGUAAUGAAACUUGGUGUAGUUUGAUGUCAAAAUUACAAUCAUCCGCCGAAGAGAGGAAAAAUAAUAGACGAGUUUGUAACAGUCACAGACCGAGAUGUUUAAGAUUUAGACGUCGUCUUCAUAAAGGAAAAUGCAAUUGUAAAUCAAAAUGCGACCAAGAGACAUCGACCAAUGUUCGCUCGGAUUGUGAUCAAUCUUUGAAAGAAUCACGUAAAAAGCCUUGCCAAGUCCAUUUCUGUAAGGCCUCCGGAGAACCGCCUAAUAAAUGUUGCUCGCAGAAAAGUCCACAAAAUUUGAGAUCGAAAAAUAUCUGUCGGUUCACUGUCGAUGCUUAUUUUAAUUAAAAUAUAUUAUUUACGGUUUCUUUA
Long non-coding RNA from Papilio xuthus (Asian swallowtail), 477 nucleotides. RefSeq lists it as uncharacterized. NCBI's taxonomy places the organism in Eukaryota, Metazoa, Arthropoda, Insecta, Lepidoptera, Papilionidae. The record is from RefSeq and is a predicted model, not a curated record. The transcript is spliced from 3 exons.